This 143-nucleotide ribosomal RNA is filed under the name uncultured Gammaproteobacteria bacterium. Its description in RNAcentral is "partial 16S ribosomal RNA". It matches the Rfam family "Bacterial small subunit ribosomal RNA", at positions 396 to 529 of the family's 1533-position model. The record is from RNAcentral. Lineage: Bacteria; Pseudomonadati; Pseudomonadota; Gammaproteobacteria.
GCCGCGUGUGUGAAGAAGGCCUUCGGGUUGUAAAGCACUUUCAGAUGUGAGGAAAGGGUUGUAUUUAAUAGAUGCGAUCUGUGACGUUAACAUCAGAAGAAGGACCGGCUAACUCCGUGCCAGCAGCCGCGGUAAUAAUCACU